This 152-nucleotide ribosomal RNA is filed under the name Physcomitrium patens. RNAcentral describes it as "rRNA 5_8S_rRNA". It matches the Rfam family "5.8S ribosomal RNA". Rfam says of the family: 5.8S ribosomal RNA (5.8S rRNA) is a component of the large subunit of the eukaryotic ribosome. It is transcribed by RNA polymerase I as part of the 45S precursor that also contains 18S and 28S rRNA. Functionally, it is thought that 5.8S rRNA may be involved in ribosome translocation. The record is from RNAcentral. Lineage: Eukaryota; Viridiplantae; Streptophyta; Bryopsida; Funariales; Funariaceae.
AACUCUCAGCAACGGAUAUCUUGGCUCUUGCAACGAUGAAGAACGCAGCGAAAUGCGAUACGUAGUGUGAAUUGCAGAAUUCCGUGAAUCAUCGAGUUUUGAACGCAAGUUGCGCCCGAGGCUCGUCCGAGGGCAUUCCUGCCAGAGCGUCA